RNAcentral lists this ribosomal RNA (430 nucleotides) under Bacillota bacterium. RNAcentral's name for it is "Firmicutes bacterium partial 16S ribosomal RNA". It matches the Rfam family "Bacterial small subunit ribosomal RNA", at positions 355 to 776 of the family's 1533-position model. The record is from RNAcentral. Lineage: Bacteria; Bacillati; Bacillota.
UGGGGAAUAUUGGACAAUGGGCGCAAGCCUGAUCCAGCCAUGCCGCGUGUGUGAAGAAGGCCUUUUGGUUGUAAAGCACUUUAAGCGAGGAGGAGGCUACUUGGAUUAAUACCCUAGGAUAGUGGACGUUACUCGCAGAAUAAGCACCGGCUAACUCUGUGCCAGCAGCCGCGGUAAUACAGAGGGUGCGAGCGUUAAUCGGAUUUACUGGGCGUAAAGCGUGCGUAGGCGGCUUUUUAAGUCGGAUGUGAAAUCCCUGAGCUUAACUUAGGAAUUGCAUUCGAUACUGGGAAGCUAGAGUAUGGGAGAGGAUGGUAGAAUUCCAGGUGUAGCGGUGAAAUGCGUAGAGAUCUGGAGGAAUACCGAUGGCGAAGGCAGCCAUCUGGCCUAAUACUGACGCUGAGGUACGAAAGCAUGGGGAGCAAACAGG